This is a long non-coding RNA of Pseudophryne corroboree (corroboree frog), 669 nucleotides long. RefSeq lists it as uncharacterized. NCBI's taxonomy places the organism in Eukaryota, Metazoa, Chordata, Amphibia, Anura, Myobatrachidae. The record is from RefSeq and is a predicted model, not a curated record. The transcript has 3 exons.
UUGGUGAGUGGCAGUUGGUCUGAGGAAAGAGUGAGGAGAAGAACUGCUUUGGUGGCCAUUUUGAGAGGUGUGAGUGAAGACACUUUAAGAUGACAGAGACUGUCAGUGAAGCCACUGGGGUGUCAGUGUGAAGCAUAACUGAGAUAAUAGAAAUAAACAAGGUUUAGAGAUCAGUAAAUUCCAGCCUUCAUCACUGCUGUGCCUGCAUUUGAUGGAAGAGUAUGACCCUGAGAAACAUAUCAUUUAGGUUACUCAGGAUAGCCAUCUCAGAUCCGCAGCCAAGGCCAGUAAACCUGUGUCAGCAGAGGUAGACUCUGGCCUAGCCACUUCUACAAAAUGGUUGUGGUCGCCAGCUGCUCCUCACUGAAAUAAACUCUUGAGAGCUACAGUAUAAAUCCAAAGAGAGAAUGCCGUCUAUCUGAAUAGGAGAAAGUAUGAAUUGGAGGCCAUUACAAUCAAUGACAAUUUCAGAUUCAAAUCCAUUUCUCCUUUGUUUGGACAUUUUUAAUUAUAGACAUGUUAUGCGCUGCAAUUUAGACACCUCUCUUUUCUCAUGUAUAUGUGCAUCAGCAACAAAGUAUGUGUCAAACUUAGGAUUUAUACAUUAUAAAUCUCACUGCCCACAUUUGUUAAAAUAUACCAGAAAAUAAAUAAUAUAUAUCUACCUUA